This 1301-nucleotide ribosomal RNA is filed under the name Poecilimon thoracicus. RNAcentral's name for it is "16S ribosomal RNA". The stretch from base 609 to 1301 matches the Rfam family "Archaeal large subunit ribosomal RNA", at positions 1423 to 2815 of the family's 2987-position model. The record is from RNAcentral. Lineage: Eukaryota; Metazoa; Arthropoda; Insecta; Orthoptera; Tettigoniidae. RNAcentral also lists the same sequence under 1 other name.
AGAAUAUUAUUAGGUUAUUUGAUUAGGGGUUAUUAAUUAAAAUAAUAUUAGUGAAUAUUUUUUAGUAUAGUUUAUUGAAUUUAUUAAAUGAAUAAUAGUGGAGUAGUACUGUGAAGGAAGUUUGAAAUAAAUGAAAUAAUUAUUAGGAUAGAAGAAGAAUGGAAUUUGUACCUUGGGUAUCAGGGUUUAUUAAUUAAUAGUAAUGAUUUAUGAUUCUCGAAUUUAAAAGAGUAAAGGUAAUAUAGUAGUUAAUGUGUUAUUAUUAUUACUAAUGUUACUUUGGGGAUGAAAUGUUAAGCGUUUUUUAAGUUAUCUAGUUCUUCAAGAAGUGAAUUUAAUUCAUGUUAUUCGAAGUAAGAGUUUAAUUUUAAUUAAUGUUUUAUUUUUGAUAACAAAUGUAUAAGGGGAUAAGCUUUUGUAUAUGUAUUAUAAGUUCUUGAAUUUUUUAAGAGUAGUAGGCUUUAAAUUAGCUAUCGAUGAAAUAAUGUUAUAAGUUGUUUUGGGAUAAAAGUAUUUUUUAAAAAUUUUAAUUUGUUUAUUGAAGUAUUGUAUUGAAUAAAUUGAUAUAAGUAAUGAUGAUAAAAUAAGUAUAUUAGAGUUGUUAAUUUUAGUAUUUAUAGUAAUUUAUAUUAAGGAAUUAGGCAAAAUUAUUACUCGCCUGUUUAUCAAAAACAUCUCCUUUUGUAUGUGUAUAAGGUAGGGCCUGCCCACUGAAAGUUAUUUGAAGGGCCGCGGUAUUAUGACCGUGCAAAGGUAGCAUAAUCAUUAGUCUUUUAAUUGAGGGCUGGAAUGAAUGGUUUGACGAGGUAAUAACUGUCUCAGUAUAAGAAAUAGAAGUUAACUUUUAAGUUAAAAGGCUUAAAUUUUAGUGGAGGACGAGAAGACCCUAUAGAGCUUUAUAUAUAAUUUUUAGAUUUAUAUUUAGAGGUUUAUUAGAAUUUAGAUUGAUUAUAUUGUGUUGGGGUGACAUAAAGAUAGAAUUAACUCUUUAUUUUUAGAACAUUGAUGUAUGGGCUUUUGAUCCAUUUUUAGUGAUUGUAAGAUUAAGUUACCUUAGGGAUAACAGCGUAAUUUUUCUUGAGAGUUCAUAUCAACAGAGAAGAUUGCGACCUCGAUGUUGGAUUAAGGAAUAUAAUUAGAUGCAGCAGUUUAGUUAAUAGGUCUGUUCGACCUUUAAAUCCUUACAUGAUCUGAGUUCAGACCGGUGUGAGCCAGGUCGGUUUCUAUCCUCAUUGUUUUAUUAUAUUUUAGUACGAAAGGACCAAGUAUUGUAAAUAUUUUAUUUUAUUUGAAUAUUAGUA